UCAGAACGAACGCUGGCGGCAGGCCUAACACAUGCAAGUCGUACGAGAAGGUUKCUUCGGGAACUGGAGAGUGGCGCACGGGUGAGUAACGCGUGGGGACCUACCUCUUAGUGGGGGAUAACGGUUGGAAACGACCGCUAAUACCGCAUACGCCUUCGGGGGAAAGAUUUAUCGCUAAGAGAUGGACCCGCGUUGGAUUAGAUAGUUGGUGAGGUAAUGGCUCACCAAGUCGGCGAUCCAUAGCUGGUUUGAGAGGAUGAUCAGCCACACUGGGACUGAGACACGGCCCAGACUCUACGGGAGGCAGCAGUGGGGAAUAUUGGACAAUGGGGGCAACCCUGAUCCAGCCAUGCCGCGUGAGUGAAGAAGGCCUUCGGGUUGUAAAGCUCUUUCAGAUGCGAAGAUGAUGACGGUAACAUCAGAAGAAGCCCCGGCUAAUUUCGUGCCAGCAGCCGCGGUAAUACGAAAGGGGCAAGCGUUGUUCGGAUUUACUGGGCGUAAAGGGCACGCAGGCGGUCUUGCCAGUCAGGGGUGAAAGCCCGGGGCUCAACCCCGGAACUGCCUCUGAUACUGCAAGACUAGAGACUAGGAGAGGGUGGUGGAAUUCCCAGUGUAGAGGUGAAAUUCGUAGAUAUUGGGAGGHACACCAGAGGCGAAGGCGGCCACCUGGACUAGAUCUGACGCUCAGGUGCGAAAGCGUGGGGAGCAAACAGGAUUAGAUACCCUGGUAGUCCACGCCGUAAACGAUGAGUGCUAGUUGUCGGGACUUCGGUUUCGGUGACGCAGCUAACGCAUUAAGCACUCCGCCUGGGGAGUACGGUCGCAAGAUUAAAACUCAAAUGAAUUG
Molecule: ribosomal RNA, 847 nt
Filed under: marine alpha proteobacterium ROS12
Lineage: Bacteria; Pseudomonadati; Pseudomonadota; Alphaproteobacteria
Description: bacterial SSU rRNA
Rfam family: Bacterial small subunit ribosomal RNA
Source: RNAcentral